CUCUUAUCCAGAGUGGCGGAGGGACAGACCCUAUGAAGCCCAGCAACCUUCAAGUUUUACUUGAAAAGGUGCUAAUUUCUGCAGAAUUGUUUCUGGAAGAUAAGGG
This 106-nucleotide non-coding RNA is filed under the name Bacillus sp. (in: firmicutes). RNAcentral's name for it is "Bacillus sp. SAM-I sequence". It matches the Rfam family "SAM riboswitch aptamer (S box leader)". From Rfam's summary of the family: The SAM riboswitch is found upstream of a number of genes which code for proteins involved in methionine or cysteine biosynthesis in Gram-positive bacteria. The SAM riboswitch acts at the level of transcription termination control. The predicted structure consists of a complex stem-loop region followed by a single stem loop terminator region. Lineage: Bacteria; Bacillati; Bacillota; Bacilli; Caryophanales; Bacillaceae. RNAcentral also lists the same sequence under 1 other name. The record is from RNAcentral.